RNAcentral lists this long non-coding RNA (783 nucleotides) under Daphnia pulicaria. Its description in RNAcentral is "uncharacterized LOC124342266". The record is from RNAcentral. Lineage: Eukaryota; Metazoa; Arthropoda; Branchiopoda; Diplostraca; Daphniidae.
AGGGCAUAGUGUUGAGCAUGGAGUUGUGAGAAAGAGAAACUCAGAUCCCACAUCUCAGAAACAAAAACCAGUUGUCGUUCUUUUUCUUCCGAGACGUUGACCGGGGAGAAGUCAUCGUCACUUUCUUUCCUGACUUAGUUCUUCAUAAAAAAAGGUUGGUGAAGAUUUUUCUCAACAUGCAGUGCCAAGUCAACAAAAUGCCUCUGAUGCAUGUUGCACAUGAAAAAUGGGAAGGAAAUCUGAAAUGAUUCCUUUUUCAGUUUGGCGUUGAAGCUGUUAAUGGCGGUGAUGUCUGUUGUGCAGUAGUGUGGCAGUUAUUUUCCGAUUGAGAGAUGAACUGAAAUGGAUCUUCUGCAGACUUGAAAUUCAACAUCAGACUUCAAUUUUGGUGUCCAUGUUGUGUUGAGCUGUUGUGUGCAAAAUAGUUGGUGUUGCCUGAUUGCUGUCUGGCCUUUUGUUGGUGUGUUCUUCUGUUACCUGUUGAGGUAAUGCAGGAUGAAAAAUUUUACUGAUGAAUUAUUAGAUUUACAUAAAUUAAAAUUGAAAAUCUAUUGUCCCUUUUCCCUAAGUAAACAAAAAUGUCCUCUGUUGCCUAGUUGUGUGAAGACCAGGGGUGUCGUGGUCGAAUGGGGAAUUGCAACGAAAUUUGAUAUUUUCUAUGAGAAAGAAAAGUUAAACCACAAAGAUUCUUAUACUCCGAUGAACUCUUACCGCCUCCAAACGUUUCGCUCUUAAUCUAUAAGAUUACCUCGUUAAAAAAAUAAAUUGCUGAAACCAAAAUCA